Long non-coding RNA from Amaranthus tricolor (Joseph's coat), 1419 nucleotides. RefSeq lists it as uncharacterized. NCBI's taxonomy places the organism in Eukaryota, Viridiplantae, Streptophyta, Magnoliopsida, Caryophyllales, Amaranthaceae. The transcript is spliced from 2 exons. The record is from RefSeq and is a predicted model, not a curated record.
GGUUUUCAAUAGCACUUUAUGCAAGUUAGGCAUCGGUGAUCCCACGACCUAACUUGAGGGGGAGUAUUGAAAAGCAGUUUAUGCAGUUACAUUAAUAGGUAGUUAUCUUUUGUUAAGCAGUUAUCAUUUGUCAAUUAAUUCUCAUGUAUAUAUAUUAAACAUACAUUUCCUGUAAUAGAAUAAUAAAAAGAACUGUAUUUUUCAGAAACAAAAAAAACCUGAAUUAUCAUCGAAUCUUCAACUUCAUCCUCUAAUUGCCGGUUUCUCUUCCCUUCCACACUGUCUGCCUUUACACCCAAAACUCUUGGUUAAUACCCAAGAGAAAACGAAAUUCUUCUGCCUCCAUCAGCUCUCAUCUUCUCUCCUCAUUAAAUUUUGGUUGCUCAAUGAACCUCUCCAUAUUUUCUGGGCGGCUAUCUCACAGCUCAAGAAUGGCGCUUCUUCCAGCCCCUUAUAUUUAUUGCACCAUCAAUUGCUCUUAAUUGCUACCUAACAUUCCCCUUUAUCUAUUCUCUUUCUCUAAUUUGUUUGUCUAGAUUUUAGGUUUACUUCUCAAAUUGGUAGGGUUUGCUUUUGAAAUUGGUACAAAUUUGUGGGUUUCUCUUAUGAGCAUGGUUAGUCAAGUUAUUCCGGUGACCUCCACAUUACCGAGUGUUAUCUUCAACAAGGAACGAAAGUUGUCACCUGGUAAGUUUUUAUUGUUUUAGUUGGUUGUUAUUGACUUGUAGGGUUCAUUAGAGUUUUGACUUUUGAUGAUUUUAUGGCUUUCUUUUGCUAUUGGUAAUGUAAUUGUGGGUUUUUGUAUUAAGAUCAGAAUAAGAAAUUUCAGAUUGUUGAACAUAUAUCCGAUGAAGAAGACAUGGAGGAUGCUGAAAUUACAUUGGUUGAGCUUUUGAAGCUACAAGAUUUGGGUAUUUUGCUACCAAUGGUGCAAAUGUUAUGCGGAUGAGCACCAACAUCUUAUGUUGUGCAGUAUUUAUUUAAUACUUGAAUCUGAUGAUUCAUCCAAGGGACAGAUGAAUACUACUCCGGACGAAACCUGUGACUAUCAUAUACUAUUCGGUGGCGAACCAUGAGUAUCGGAAUAAGCGUCUGGAGGGCCAUAUCCAACUACUUGUGUACUACUGAUGAUAUACUGGCCAACCAUAGCAAGACUCGGAAGUGUGUGGCUAAACCAUCACAUAUUUUCAUUGAUAGUUAAUAGUUAAUAGUUAAUAGUUAAUAGUUAAUACUGAUACCACUUCCAUAUUUUGGGCUCUAAUACAAUUCAAUGCAUGUAUCAUCUGAAAUCAGAGUGUUUCCCUUUAAUGAUUCUUCUUACAGUUGUAUAUCCUACUAUCAGAUUGUGUUAUACGCAUAAAUACAGACAGUAUAUCAUCAUCUUUCUGACAACACUAACAAUGAUUUAGUAUUCGUGCA